Molecule: ribosomal RNA, 444 nt
Filed under: uncultured bacterium
Lineage: Bacteria
Description: bacterial SSU rRNA
Rfam family: Bacterial small subunit ribosomal RNA
Source: RNAcentral
AGAGUUUGAUCAUGGCUCAGGAUGAACGCUGGCGGCGUGCCUAACACAUGCAAGUCGAGCGAUUUACUUCGGUAAAGAGCGGCGGACGGGUGAGUAACGCGUGGGUAACCUGCCCUGUACACACGGAUAACAUACCGAAAGGUAUGCUAAUACGAGAUAAUAUGCUUUUAUCGCAUGGUAGAAGUAUCAAAGUUUUUGCGGUACAGGAUGGGCCCGCGUCUGAUUAGCUAGUUGGUAAGGUAACGGCUUACCAAGGCGACGAUCAGUAGCCGACCUGAGAGGGUGAUCGGCCACAUUGGAACUGAGACACGGUCCAAACUCCUACGGGAGGCAGCAGUGGGGAAUAUUGCACAAUGGGCGAAAGCCUGAUGCAGCAACGCCGCGUGAGCGAUGAAGGCCUUCGGGUCGUAAAGCUCUGUCCUCAAGGAAGAUAAUGACGGUACU